Transfer RNA from Felis catus (domestic cat), 73 nucleotides. It matches the Rfam family "tRNA". From Rfam's summary of the family: Transfer RNA (tRNA) molecules are approximately 80 nucleotides in length. Their secondary structure includes four short double-helical elements and three loops (D, anti-codon, and T loops). The record is from Rfam. NCBI's taxonomy places the organism in Eukaryota, Metazoa, Chordata, Mammalia, Carnivora, Felidae.
GCCUGACUGGCUCAGUGGGUAGAACAUGUGACUCUUGAUCUUAGAGUCGUGAGUUCAAGCCCCACAUUGGGCA